Molecule: ribosomal RNA, 254 nt
Filed under: uncultured Pseudomonas sp.
Lineage: Bacteria; Pseudomonadati; Pseudomonadota; Gammaproteobacteria; Pseudomonadales; Pseudomonadaceae
Description: partial 16S ribosomal RNA
Rfam family: Bacterial small subunit ribosomal RNA
Source: RNAcentral
CGGACGGGUGUGUAAUGCCUAGGAAUCUGCCUGGUAGUGGGGGACAACGUUUCGAAAGGAACGCUAAUACCGCAUACGUCCUACGAGAGAAAGCAGGGGACCUUCGGGCCUUGCGCUAUCAGAUGAGCCUAGGUCGGAUUAGCUAGUUGGUGAGGUAAUGGCUCACCAAGGCGACGAUCCGUAACUGGUCUGAGAGGAUGAUCAGUCACACUGGAACUGAGACACGGUCCAGACUCCUACGGGAGGCAGCAGUC